CUGAAUCUUCGAAAAAUCGACCGUGUGAAAGGAUCAACACCCACUGUAUCCGGGAUCACCUGGAUCUACACACGAAGCGCAGGGUGUAGUAUGAGUACAACCAACUCAGUAAGUAACAAUAAUAAAUAAGGAACUGAAGAUAGUGACGAGCUAUACAAUUUCUAAUUCAUUUUUAGUAAUUCCAGCAAAGAAUUGACAUGCUUUCAAAUCCGACAGUUUAAGUCAAAUCAAUUUAUGAAUUCGUACUUUAAAAUUUAUUUGAAAUGACUUCAGUCAACUUAUUGAGAAAAUAGACCCGAAUCCGUUUUUUGACGGUCCUGGUGGAUUCGUAUCAUGAUUUUGGGACUUGGGCGUAUGUCCGGAUUCGAAUUCGGAGGUCCCUAACUCGAGUUAUCGCAAUUUGUUGAAAAUUUAAAGUUUAAAAGUUUAAAGAAUUUAUAAAUUUGACCAAAGUUUGACUUAGUUGUUACCGGGUCCGGAUCUCUAUUUCAGAGCUUGGUAUGACUUUAUUACUGUAAUUACUACUUGCCUACAAAUUUUGGUGAAAAACGAAGUUGAUUUGAUGUGAUUCGGACGUCCGGUUGUUAAAAUGGAAGUUCUUAAGUUUUAUUGAAAAUUUCAUUUGUUUUGGUAUCUGAUUCGUAGUUUUAGGUGUUAUUUUGGUUUUUUGAUCACGCGAGCGAGUUCGUAUGAUAUUUUGGACUUGUGUGCAUACUUGGUUUGGAGCCCCGAGGGCUCGGGUGAGUUUCAGAUAGACUACAGAGUGAUUUCGGACUUGGUAGAAUAGUUGAUGCCUCUUUUGUUGCUGGUGUUCUGGUGCAGGUCUCGCAUUUGUGAGAUCUAGCUCGCAUUUGCGAGCAUGGGCAGGCUUGAGGAUCCUUGCAUUUGCGAGGUAAAAGUCCGCAUUUGCGAACUUGCCAUUUCCGCUUUUGUGAAGGCGGAGUCACAUUUGUGACUCAACACGGUCCUUGGCAAUCUUCGCAUUUGUGAAGAGGUGGUCCGCAUUUGUGAGAGCUGGGGGUUUGCAUUUGCGACCAAAAACAUCGCACUUGCAUUGACUGGGUUUUUGAGAGGAGUUCGCAUUUGCGACCUCUUUCGCGCAAUUGCGAUGUUCGCAAUUGCGAAUAAAAUAUCGCAAUUGCGAACAAAAUAUCGCAAUUGCGACAUCCGCAGCUGGGUAAAAACUAAGAUAGACGGGAUUUUACUCAUUCUUUCAAAUUCUCAACCCUAAAAACCUUAGAGGCGAUUUUCCCAAGAGCCUUUCUUUCUUAAUUCAUUGGUAAGUGACCUUAAUCUACUUUCUUUCAUUUACCCAUUAUAUUUUAUAAGUUUUCAUCAUUUAAGCCUAGGAUCUUUCAUGGUGGAAAUUGGAGAUUUGGGUAGAAUUAGAAAUUUUUGCAAAAUUAAAAUUUAGACCUCGAAUUGAGGUCGGAUUUCGAAACAAAUUACAUAACCGGACUCAGGGGUGAAUGGGUAAUCGGGUUUUGGUCCGAAUUUCAGAUUUUGACCAAGCGGGUCCGGGGUUGACUUUUGUUGCCUUUUUUAAUAAUAACCUAAAUUGAACCUCUUUCAUUCGUGGGUAGUUUCGGAGGCUUAUUUUGAAUCGUUUGGUUAAUAAUUUGCUAGAUUGAUUUUAUUUUAGACAUAGGGUCUCCCCUCCCUAGUCGCUUUUCUAACAUAGGGUCUCCACUCCAUAUUUAAUUUUAUUUUAGACAUAGGAUCUCCACUCCCUAGUAGCUUUUCCAACAAAGGGUCUCCAUUUCCUAGUUGAUUUUAUUUUAGAGAUAGGGUCUCCACUCCCAAGUCACUUUUCCAACAUAGGGUCUCCACUCCCUAGUUGAUUUUAUUUUUAGACAUAUGGUCUCCUCUCCCUAUUAUCUUUUCCAACAUAUGGCCUUCACUACCUAGUUGAUUUUAUUUUAGACAUAGGGUCUCCACUCCCUGCUUGACAAUCAACCCAAAGAUAAUUUUUACCGCAUUUAAAACACGUAGCACACCGCUGAUAAUAUUCCGUUGCUAACUCUUCAACUGUUUCCUUAGGCUGGUUGUACUUCAUCUUCACAUCAUUUAGAGUUCAAUAACAAGAACAUGCUCUUCAGGAUUUCUUCAACAAAAGAAAUCUUGAAGAGAAGUUAACAUAACAAAACUAAAAAUAAAAAAAAACAUAAAAAUUAAAAGCUAAUUCCUGGAUUAGCACUACAAACUAUUUCAAACACUAUUGAGUGCCAAUCCCCGACAACGGUGCCAAAAUUUGAUGAGCGCAAAACACACACUUAAAUUGUGCUCGCUAGUCAAAGAUAGUAUAGUAUAAUAUCGUGUCCACAGGGAUUGAAUUUAAACAGUAUUCUCGUAGUUUGUAGCUAGAUUGCUAUCUAGGAGGAUCAACAGUUGAGAUUUAUAUGACUAAGAAUCUAAAAUCUACAGCUAUUGACUAGUGACUAUCGAAAUAAGUAAUAAGCAAUUAAGGUUAUCGGUGGGAGAGGAUAGGGUUUUGACAGAAUAAGUGCAAGAUAAUUGUUCGAGAUCUAACUCUAAAAUUGAAUUUCGGGCCCGAUAUCAAAAAGUCAAUUCCAUGGUCAAACUUGGAAAUCUUUAGCCUUUAAAUUUCUAGUUUCCAUUAAAUGGACAUAACUUGAGCUAGUGAGUUCCAAAUUAAAUUUCGGGCAUACGCCCAAGUCUCAAAUCACGAGACGGACCUACCGAAACUGUCAAAACAUUGAUCCGGGUCCGUUUGUUCAAAAUAUUGACCAAAGUCAACUCAGUUGAGUUUUAAGGCUCUAUUUCACAUUUUAAUCAAUUUUUCAUAUAAAAACUUCUCGGAAAAUUAUACGGGCUGCACACGCAAGCCGAGAAAUGAUAAAUAGUGCUUUUUGAGGUCUUAGAAUACAGAAUUAAUUAUUAAAUUUAAAUAUGACCUUUUGGGUCAUCACAAUUAUUAGUUCAAAUGUUCAGCAAAAACUUUUCUUUCGAUUAAGUCUCAACUUCUCAAUAUGAACCAAUUUAAUCUCUGUGAAGAUAUGCAAGAAUCCAUAAUGGAUUGGUCUUUAGGAUAGCCUCUCUCGAUUAUUCUCCUAACUAGGUUUAAUCAAUAAUUCAACUAGCCUCUUUCAAUUACUUAGAAGAAUCUAUGAACUCAACCAACAAUAUAAUGCAAAGAUAUCACAAGUUAUGCCUCUUUCAAUUACAAAAACAAGUGAAUAUAGAUGCAAUAAUUAAAUCUUCCAAAAAUGAUUCAAAUACAUAAAAAUAGAAUUAUAAUCUACAAACAAUCAUCAAUACACCAAAUCCAUCAAAACCCAAAAGGAACUACUCCAUAGACAUGGAGAAGUUCUUCACAAAUAUAACUAAAGUAUAGAAAAACAUAAAUUCAAUCCAAACCCGAAUCUUGAGUGAGGAAGGAAUGAUGAAAUCCUUAUGCUUGUGUUCUUCCCAAACCUCCUUUGCCUCCUUAGGUCGAAAAUCUGUCAAAAGUCCCCGAAAAUGGUAUUUUUCCGUGUAUUUAAGCCAUCCCUCAAUAAACCCCGGACAAAAUUAUCUUUUUUUAGCGGAAAUGGAAAGUUACUCUAAUAUUUUUGUGCUAUCUCGGCAUAAAUUGCAUUGUCGUGCCGCCCCAUGCAGCGCGGCUGUGCAGUUUCUUCGAGUAAGUUCGUUUCUCCAAUAUUUGACAUUCGGACUUCGUCCUCGACCCCCGAACGCGACCCCGAUUUAAUCACUUGGGCUUCUACUUAGACUUCAAUGCUCCAAAUAGCUCGAAUUAGCUCUACAACAUCUAAAUAACUUGGAAUCACUCCUACACGACAUAAAACACAUAAUAAGUGCAAAACACUACUAAUUAAAGUUCAACAUAAGUAAAGUGCAGUGAAUUAGAAUGCAAUGAGCGACUAAAGUGCAAUGAGCGACUAAAACACAGGGUUAUAAGCCUACCAUCAAGUAGUUGAAAUCAGAAAGCACAAAAUGGGGAUAUUAGUGUUGCUCACCAUUGUUGACUGAGAGAAGCAAAGCUUGAUCGUAAAGAUUGGUAAAACCUGGAAAGAGGAAAUCAAUGUGAACAUUUGACAGUAAGAAAUUUUGAUUAAACAAAUGAAUGUUUUAGUAGUUGCAAUGGGGCUUAACGUUACAGUCAAACAUUAAGAUUAAAUAUGUUUAUAAACCAGUAAAUUAACCCAGUCAUUCGAGUCAAAUUUUAAAGGUAAUGCAUGUAAUAGUUGUAAUCGUUAAAGACAAAUCACAAAACUAAAAUUCUCUAUAAUUGUAGGGAAAACAUAUUUAUUUUGAUUCUCGUCAAAGAAGUAAGGAACCAAAUUUGCAUUUCAGGACAAAUAUUUACUACUAUAAUUUAUUUGAGAACUUAGAUAGGACAAUUUACUUUUUUACAUCUAUAAAGUGGAGGUAAUAAUGUGGAAACAAAAAUAUACCAAGAGUUAAGGAAAACACAAACUGAUCCAAAGAGAAAUUCAACCUUGACGAAGAUGUCAUCUCUGCUCUGCUGCAUAAACUGCACCAAGGCAAGUAAACUGUGUAUAAAUCACCAGAUCGAAUAAAAAUAAAAACAAAAAGUUGUAAUUCAAAAGUGAUAUGUUUUUUCUUGUGGGUUUAUUUAAAAUCUUGUAGACGGGGAAAUUUCCAAAAAAAGAAGAAAAGAGAUAAAUAGUGCAUCCGUGAGCAUGGGGAAUGUUCCACAUCAGAUUUUAUUUUUUAGCUUUAUAAAUAUUUGUAUAUAAAUUAUUGACAAACUUUAAUUAAGCUCCACACACAUGCAAAGAUAAUGUGAACAUUACUGACUUUCCUUGUAUACCAAAAUUUCAUAGUCAACAACUAAAAUUCAAGGGAGGAAGAUAUUAUGUUUCCCGUAAGCAUCCAUGAUAAUUUGGUGAAAGCUCUACUUUCAUAAUCUCAAAUGACCGCAAUUGUCAUUAGGGAAUAAAAUGCCUCACCUGAAGGAUAACUCGAGAAGACGAAUACACUAACCUCGUGGCAAUUAAACAAUUUGUGUCGUGUUGUAUUGGUAGUACUCAAUUAUAAGGGAGAACCAUACAACUAAGCACAUUACCGGUCUAAACUCCAUAUUAGUAAAUUAUAAUCAAUAUUUAUAGACAUAAAAAUAAAUUCAAUGGUCAUCAGUCAUCACUAUUAAAUAAAAAAAUCUUUCCCAACUGUUAAUAAUGACUGAUUGCACUUAACUCCGCCUAUGUCGCCUCAUAUGUGCAUUUUUGUGAGCAUCUUCUUCUCUGGCUUUGUACUUUUCUUUUUCUCUUUUAUUUCUAGCACUAUUUCUGUGGUGUGGAUUUAGUAUUUUAACUACCUUGGCUCAUCUCUUCAUCGCUGCUACAACUGUUGGUGAGUCUUAAUCUUCAUUUUUUUUUUCAAUUUGGUAUUUACAUGGGUGUGGAUUGUAGGGUAGUUAGUUUUCUUCCUCCUUAAUUUUCUUCACCCAUCAAUAGAUUAUAUACACAUAAAUGAUAAAUCUUUAUCAAGUUGAGUUAAGAAGGCAUAAGAAAAUUGCUACUGAUUAGGGAUAAAUAACGACCAAUUUACAGUAGAGCAAUUAAGCAAUCAUUUAUGCCACAUAAAGUUGUGUUGUGAUUAUCUAUAUUACUUAACAUAUCAGAUAUUCUAGCCUUAAUAUUCAUUUGGAAAUGUUAUUGGUUCUCUUCAAAAUAAAAAAAUUCUCUUAGAUAUAAAACAUUCUACAUGGAUUUAGGUUUAAAUUUCUUAUAAAAUUUUAGAAGUUUCUUACUGCAAAUUUUCUUACAGAUUUCAAGUUAGUUCAAGUGCAUGUUCUUGAGAGGAAAAAACAUAAUAGAAUCUUUAUACUCUUGGUUAUCAAUUGUGCAGAAAACAUAAUAGUUAAGGAUCUUCGGGGCUCACCUCAAAUACAGAUGGAGAAGGUCAAAUUGAAUCUGUUCACGGCCUUUUGUUCGUUUGUACUACCAUCUAUCAACCUAAAAGAAAAAUAAAUCAUGCGCUCAACUGAAUUAUGAAACUUCAAGGGUCUAACAUUUAAAAUGCUGAAAAGAUAUGCAAAGAAGACAUAGUUGGUAAAGAUUAACUUUGAAAGGAUUAUAGACAUGCAAGUGUGAAUAAAUUUGCAGCAUUUCCUGAAUCCGUGGGUAAAGUCAACAAUGCGGCAUAUUUUUGAAUACUUCAUGGGCGUCAACAUAAGCAGUUGUUAUCCAAUUUUUCUGCGAUGGCGAAGGAGUAAGUUAAAGACGGAGCAGAAUCAAAAAUCAAAGCGCAAAUAACUAGAAAACGCAAAUUGGAAACUGUGAUGGGGAAAGAAUUUAGAGAUUAGCUAAGGAAUUAAAGUAAAUCAACAAAGAUGAAGCAAAAUCUGUGUAGAAGAGCAAACAGGGAGGAGAAAGAGUAUAGGGAUUUUCAACAAUGGUAAUGUGAUGAUCCGAUAGAUCAUCUAGAGUUUUAACCUUUAAUUUUGUAUUUUGAAAUCUUAAAUAGCUCCUUUUCGUCUUCUCCGAUUUGCGUGCGCAUUC
This 6488-nucleotide long non-coding RNA is filed under the name Nicotiana tabacum (common tobacco). RNAcentral describes it as "long non-coding RNA (NTAB_LNC001853)". The record is from RNAcentral. Lineage: Eukaryota; Viridiplantae; Streptophyta; Magnoliopsida; Solanales; Solanaceae.